RNAcentral lists this ribosomal RNA (866 nucleotides) under uncultured Methanosaeta sp. RNAcentral's name for it is "bacterial SSU rRNA". It matches the Rfam family "Archaeal small subunit ribosomal RNA", at positions 1 to 873 of the family's 1478-position model. Lineage: Archaea; Methanobacteriati; Methanobacteriota; Methanomicrobia; Methanotrichales; Methanotrichaceae. The record is from RNAcentral.
UUCUGGUUGAUCCCGCCGGAGGUUACUGCUAUCGAGGUUCGACUAAGCCAUGCGAGUCGAAUGUAGCAAUACAUGGCGUACUGCUCAGUAACACGUGGACAACCUACCCUUAGGAUGGGGAUAAACCCGGGAAACUGGGUAUAAUACCCAAUAGAUCUGGUCUGCUGGAAUGCUUCCAGAUUUAAAACUCCGGUGCCUAAGGAUGGGUCUGCGGCCUAUCAGGUUGUAGUGGGUGUAGUGUACCUACUAGCCUACGACGGGUACGGGUUGUGAGAGCAAGAGCCCGGAGAUGGAUUCUGAGACACGAAUCCAGGCCCUACGGGGUGCAGCAGGCGCGAAAACUUUACAAUGCCGGCAACGGCGAUAAGGGGACCUCGAGUGCCAGGUUACAAAUCUGGCUGUCGCGAUGCCUAAAAAGCAUUGCAUAGCAAGGGCCGGGCAAGACCGGUGCCAGCCGCCGCGGUAACACCGGCGGCUCGAGUGGUAACUGUUAUUAUUGGGUCUAAAGGGUCUGUAGCCGACCGGGUAAGUCUCUUGGGAAAUCCAGCAGCUCAACUGUUGGGCUUUCAGGAGAUACUGCCUGGCUCGAGGCCGGGAGAGGUGAGAGGUACUUCAGGGGUAGGGGUGAAAUCUUGUAAUCCUUGAAGGACCACCAGUGGCGAAGGCGUCUCACCAGAACGGACCUGACGGCAAGGGACGAAAGCUAGGGGCACGAACCGGAUUAGAUACCCGGGUAGUCCUAGCCGUAAACGAUACUCGCUAGGUGUCGGCCACGGUGCGACCGUGGUCGGUGCCGUAGGGAAGCCGUGAAGCGAGCCACCUGGGAAGUACGGCCGCAAGGCUGAAACUUAAAGGAAUUGGCGGGA